UUGCACACAGUUGGUAUUUUUU
Molecule: microRNA, 22 nt
Filed under: Callithrix jacchus (white-tufted-ear marmoset)
Lineage: Eukaryota; Metazoa; Chordata; Mammalia; Primates; Cebidae
Description: cja-miR-9905
Source: miRBase by way of RNAcentral